UACGAAGGGGGCUAGCGUUGUUCGGAUUUACUGGGCGUAAAGCGCACGUAGGCGGACCUGCAAGUUGGGGGUGAAAUCCCGGGGCUCAACCCCGGAACUGCCCUCAAAACUGCUGGUCUGGAAGUCGAGAGAGGUGAGUGGAAUUCCGAGUGUAGAGGUGAAAUUCGUAGAUAUUCGGAGGAACACCAGUGGCGAAGGCGGCUCACUGGCUCGAUACUGACGCUAAGGUGCGAAAGCGUGGGGAGCAAACAGG
This 253-nucleotide ribosomal RNA is filed under the name uncultured bacterium. Its description in RNAcentral is "partial 16S ribosomal RNA". It matches the Rfam family "Bacterial small subunit ribosomal RNA", at positions 524 to 776 of the family's 1533-position model. The record is from RNAcentral.